GAUGAACGCUGGCGGCGUGCUUAACACAUGCAAGUCGAACGGAAAGGCCCAAGCUUGCUUGGGUACUCGAGUGGCGAACGGGUGAGUAACACGUGGGUGAUCUGCCCUGCACUUUGGGAUAAGCCUGGGAAACUGGGUCUAAUACCGGAUAGGACCACAUCUUGGAUGGUGCGGUGGAAAGUUUCUCGGCGUGGGCUGAGCUCGCGGCCUAUCAGCUUGUUGGUGGGUUAAUGGCCUAACAGGGGGUCGGCUGGUAGCCGGCCUGAGAGGGUGUACGGCGACAUUGGGACUGAGGUACGGCCCAGUCUCGUACGGGAGGCAGCAGGGGGGAAUAUUACACAAUGGGCGCAAGCCGGAGGCAGCGACGCCGGGUGGGGGAUGACGGCCUGCGGGGUAUAAACUCCUUUCGCUAGAGACGAAGCGCAAGUGACGGUACCUGAAGAAGAAGCACCGGCUAACUACGUG
RNAcentral lists this ribosomal RNA (465 nucleotides) under uncultured bacterium. RNAcentral's name for it is "partial 16S ribosomal RNA". It matches the Rfam family "Bacterial small subunit ribosomal RNA", at positions 28 to 507 of the family's 1533-position model. The record is from RNAcentral.